Molecule: ribosomal RNA, 497 nt
Filed under: uncultured bacterium
Lineage: Bacteria
Description: partial 16S ribosomal RNA
Rfam family: Bacterial small subunit ribosomal RNA
Source: RNAcentral
GAUGAACGCUGGCGGCGUGCCUAAUACAUGCAAGUCGAGCGAACAGACGAGGAGCUUGCUCCUCUGACGUUAGCGGCGGACGGGUGAGUAACACGUGGAUAACCUACCUAUAAGACUGGGAUAACUUCGGGAAACCGGAGCUAAUACCGGAUAAUAUAUUGAACCGCAUGGUUCAAUAGUGAAAGACGGUUUUGCUGUCACUUAUAGAUGGAUCCGCGCCGCAUUAGCUAGUUGGUAAGGUAACGGCUUACCAAGGCGACGAUGCGUAGCCGACCUGAGAGGGUGAUCGGCCACACUGGAACUGAGACACGGUCCAGACUCCUACGGGAGGCAGCAGUAGGGAAUCUUCCGCAAAGGGCGAGAGCCUGACGGAGCAACGCCGCGUGAGUGAUGAAGGUCUUCGGAUCGUAAAACUCUGUUAUUAGGGAAGAACAAAUGUGUAAGUAACUAUGCACGUCUUGACGGUACCUGAUCAGAAAGCCACGGCUAACUACGUG